Molecule: long non-coding RNA, 1255 nt
Filed under: Parus major (Great Tit)
Lineage: Eukaryota; Metazoa; Chordata; Aves; Passeriformes; Paridae
Description: lncRNA (ENSPMJG00000015408.1)
Source: RNAcentral
AUGGGAAUUCAAUGCCUUGGUUGUAAAGGUCCAGCUCUUCCAGCUUGCCAUGGCUGCUGGCUGCUCUGCAAAAGGUGGAAUGAGGGGAUUCACUUGCUCUUUCCUGGUGGGUUCAGCAACAGCACAGGGACAUCAGCCACCUCUGGUCAUAUCACCAGGGAGACCUUGACAAUGUGGAGAAGGGCUCUGUUGCAUCAUGUGGAGUGGGUAAUAUCCAGAUUUACAGCAUGUGUGUGGGGCAGGUGGCAUCUCUGAGCUGCCCUGCUCUCCCCUCGGUGUCAGAAGGGUUUGAAGGAUUUGGUGGCUUCCCUCCCAGCUGCCUGCAGGGCAGGCACAGUAGCACAGACCAGGUUCCACCUGGCCAGCUGUGAACUAGGGUCUUGGGACCUUUAGAUCAGAAGAGCAAAGUUGUGAAAAGUGUGAAACUGGGGAAGCCAAGCAAAACCCCUCCAGCAUGGAGUGGGGAAUGGCUCACUCAGUGUUGUCAGAGAGUGAAAAACUCUCACUAUUUAUAUUUUGGUCAGUAGAAGAAAGCGUCACACCCAUCCAUCCCAUUAGUAUAAAAAAGCAUUGACAACACCAUAGUCCCCACCUUACCUUCUCCUAUGCCUCUCCAGAGCACCUGGUCCUGUGCCAGAGGGUUUAAUAGAUUACCCUGCAAAGCCUGGGACUGUGGCAUUGUGCAAGGUUGCACAUUCCCAGGAAGCAUAUGUGCACAAAGCUGUAACAGACACAGACUAAGGAGCGAUGGCCCUGGUUGGCAGUGGUGAGAGGCGCUAAUAUUGCUGGGAAAGGUGAAAACAUAAUUGAAACCGCUUAUUUUGGGGGGCAUACAGGACACAAUGAGUCAAUAGCUUCUGAGCAACAAAUACCUGUAAUUCACCAAUCCUGGUAUUACAGACUUUUAAUUAGCUCUACAAAUUUGCAGAACAUGUAAACACCCAGAAUGGUACACAACAAACCAUUAAACAUUAACUUAUUGUCGACUUAAAAAAAAAACCCCACUCAUGAUAUUAAAAACAUAAGGGGAAAGAGAUGCCAAGCUGAUGAAUGAAGCCAGCUGACUGCUGAGAAGAGGCUAUGGGGUUUGCUCCAUAGCUUUGCUGUUUUCAGUAAUCUGACUCACUGAGAUAUUUUUAGACACAGUAACAAGUUCCAUUGUUAAGUAAUAUUUCAUUUGAAUUUUUCUCAAAUUAUGCUGUCCUCUUGGCCUGCAAAUUCCUUUCUUCAGCAAGGCAGUGCUGCUCUCCACACC